AAUAUAGUGCCUGAUAAAAGGAUAACUUUGAUAGAGUUAAUUAUGUGAUAUCUCACCUAUAUUA
This 64-nucleotide transfer RNA is filed under the name Homola orientalis. RNAcentral's name for it is "tRNA-Ile". Lineage: Eukaryota; Metazoa; Arthropoda; Malacostraca; Decapoda; Homolidae. The record is from RNAcentral.